AUGGAGGAUGCCCAAAAGAUUCGCAAGAGCGUGAUAGACUACUUUGAAAAGGCGUCACCUCCUAACCUCAGUGAAGAGGAGAGGAAGAUCCUUCACUUUGUGAUUAUCGGUGGUGGACCUACUAGGGUUGAAUUUGCGGUGGAGUUGCAUGAUUUUCUUGUCGAAGAUCUGGUGAAGCUAUAUCCUGCAAUUGAAGAAUUUGUGAAGAUAAAAAUUAUGCAAUCAGGAGAACAUACAAUGAGGGUUGAACGUUCCUGCAGUAAUAACCUUAGUUUUGGGCAAGAUGAUCAAGGAGUAGCGAAACUUUAG
This 309-nucleotide ribosomal RNA is filed under the name Triticum aestivum (bread wheat). RNAcentral describes it as "partial small subunit ribosomal RNA". The record is from RNAcentral. Lineage: Eukaryota; Viridiplantae; Streptophyta; Magnoliopsida; Poales; Poaceae.